This 67-nucleotide transfer RNA is filed under the name Marmota monax (woodchuck). RNAcentral's name for it is "tRNA.Ala". Lineage: Eukaryota; Metazoa; Chordata; Mammalia; Rodentia; Sciuridae. The record is from RNAcentral.
GGUUGUGGCUCAGUGGAAGAGCACUUGCCUAGCAUGUGUGAGACACUGGGUUCAAUCUUCAGCACCA